ACGAGGGGGGGGGGGGGGGCUUAGGUAGAGGUGUUGCUGCACUGUCUCCACAGAGACAACGCAGCGAUAUCAUCAUGAGCAGUUCUAACUGGAGAGAAAUUAAAAUCUGCGAGCUGCUGAUCAUGUGAGAGAAGGUGAUGCAGCCGUAUUAAACAAAGACGUUGAAAGAUGGUGCAAUCUACGAGAGAGACGCAGAGGAACUGUCCUUAUGAGGCUUUUGUCAGGAUAAAAAACAAGUGGUCAGCAAAAUAAAGAAUAUGUUGGCGUUUUUGCACUUGUAAAUAGUUAAUUGCGUUUGUAGCCUUCCCUCAGACGUGAACUCAUUCUUGCAUGCUGGUG
Molecule: long non-coding RNA, 339 nt
Organism: Gadus macrocephalus (Pacific cod)
Lineage: Eukaryota; Metazoa; Chordata; Actinopteri; Gadiformes; Gadidae
Exons: 2
Source: RefSeq, a predicted model, not a curated record